GCGUUGUCCGGAAUUAUUGGGCGUAAAGAGCUCGUAGGCGGUCUGUCGCGUCUGCUGUGAAAACUCGGGGCUUAACCCCGGGCCUGCAGUGGGUACGGGCAGACUAGAGUGCGGUAGGGGAGACUGGAAUUCCUGGUGUAGCGGUGAAAUGCGCAGAUAUCAGGAGGAACACCGGUGGCGAAGGCGGGUCUCUGGGCCGUAACUGACGCUGAGGAGCGAAAGCGUGGGGAGCGAACAGG
Molecule: ribosomal RNA, 239 nt
Filed under: uncultured bacterium
Lineage: Bacteria
Description: partial 16S ribosomal RNA
Rfam family: Bacterial small subunit ribosomal RNA
Source: RNAcentral